RNAcentral lists this transfer RNA (72 nucleotides) under Candidatus Peregrinibacteria bacterium. RNAcentral describes it as "tRNA-Phe". It matches the Rfam family "tRNA". Rfam says of the family: Transfer RNA (tRNA) molecules are approximately 80 nucleotides in length. Their secondary structure includes four short double-helical elements and three loops (D, anti-codon, and T loops). Further hydrogen bonds mediate the characteristic L-shaped molecular structure. tRNAs have two regions of fundamental functional importance: the anti-codon, which is responsible for specific mRNA codon recognition, and the 3' end, to which the tRNAs corresponding amino acid is attached (by aminoacyl-tRNA synthetases). tRNAs cope with the degeneracy of the genetic code in two manners: having more than one tRNA (with a specific anti-codon) for a particular amino acid; and 'wobble' base-pairing, i.e. permitting non-standard base-pairing at the 3rd anti-codon position. Lineage: Bacteria; Candidatus Peregrinibacteriota. The record is from RNAcentral.
GCCGAGGUAGCUCAGUGGUAGNNAGGACUGAAAAUCCUUGCGUCGGCGGUUCAAUUCCGCCCCUCGGCACCA